GACACAAAUCCAACGCACAAGGCCAGCCCUAUUGAAGCUCAGACAGAAUUACCAAUGCAAGGAAGCUCAACGAGAAGACCCACUCCAUCCGGCACAGAGAAAACCAGAUAAACCCAACCAAGACCAGUGGUCCUUUAUGCAGCUGAAGCAAAAGAUGGUCUCAGAGGCUCUAUAGGGUAGGUGAGGCAGAGCUCUUGGCAGCUUCUCGGGCAUGGAGGGACUGGGAGCUACGAUAGCGCCAGUAACGUACCCAUAGGUGUCAAAACCUGAGACCUUUGAAGUGAGACUUACUCCAGGAACAGAACAAUAGAGAAA
RNAcentral lists this unclassified non-coding RNA (315 nucleotides) under Hevea brasiliensis (rubber tree). The record is from RNAcentral. Lineage: Eukaryota; Viridiplantae; Streptophyta; Magnoliopsida; Malpighiales; Euphorbiaceae.